This 522-nucleotide ribosomal RNA is filed under the name uncultured bacterium. RNAcentral's name for it is "bacterial SSU rRNA". It matches the Rfam family "Bacterial small subunit ribosomal RNA", at positions 777 to 1297 of the family's 1533-position model. The record is from RNAcentral.
AAUAGAUACCCCGGUAGUCCACGCCGUAAACGUUGGGCGCUAGAUGUGGGGGCCAUCCCACGGUUUCCGCGUCGUAGCUAACGCAUUAAGCGCCCCGCCUGGGGAGUACGGCCGCAAGGCUAAAACUCAAAGGAAUUGACGGGGGCCCGCACAAGCGGCGGAGCAUGCGGAUUAAUUCGAUGCAACGCGAAGAACCUUACCAAGGCUUGACAUAUACGAGAACACUGCAGAAAUGUAGGACUCUUUGGACACUCGUAUACAGGUGGUGCAUGGUUGUCGUCAGCUCGUGUCGUGAGAUGUUGGGUUAAGUCCCGCAACGAGCGCAACCCUCGUCGCAUGUUGCCAGCACGUAAAGGUGGGAACUCAUGUGAGACUGCCGGGGUCAAUUCGGAGGAAGGUGGGGAUGACGUCAAAUCAUCAUGCCCCUUAUGUCUUGGGCUUCACGCAUGCUACAAUGGCCGGUACAAAGGGCUGCAAUACCGUAAGGUGGAGCGAAUCCCAAAAAGCCGGUCUCAGUUCGGA